UCCUACGGGGGGCAGCAGUGGGGGAUAUUGCACAAUGGGGGGAACCCUGAUGCAGCGACGCCGCGUGAGCGAAGAAGUACCUCGGUAUGUAAAGCUCUAUCAGCAGGGAGGAAAAUGACGGUACCUGACUAAGAAGCCCCGGCUAAAUACGUGCCAGCAGCCGCGGUAAUACGUAUGGGGCAAGCGUUAUCCGGAUUUACUGGGUGUAAAGGGAGCGCAGGCGGCCUGCCAAGUCUGGUGUGAAAACCCGGGGCCCAACCCCGGGCCUGCAUUGGAAACUGGCGGGC
Molecule: ribosomal RNA, 287 nt
Filed under: uncultured bacterium
Lineage: Bacteria
Description: partial 16S ribosomal RNA
Rfam family: Bacterial small subunit ribosomal RNA
Source: RNAcentral